Molecule: long non-coding RNA, 1710 nt
Organism: Vicia villosa (hairy vetch)
Lineage: Eukaryota; Viridiplantae; Streptophyta; Magnoliopsida; Fabales; Fabaceae
Exons: 3
Source: RefSeq, a predicted model, not a curated record
GCUUCAUCCCUCCAUCUCCAUCACUCUCUCUUUUUUCUCUCUCUUCUUCCUCACACUCUCUUCCUCCUCUGACUUUAUCUUUCUUCCGUCUUCUCCCGUCUUCCUUCUGUUUCUAUUUCUUCCUUCUCUUUUUCAAUCUUUGUGAGUUUCUCUUCUCCAUUCUCUAUUAUAUUCCACAAACCCUAAUCUUGAAUGCUCAUGGUCUUUUAUGUAGGUUGAUGGAGAUUGUUUUCAAGAAGGAUUUGUUUUCAAAAGAAUAACUCUCACUCAUUCAUUUACUCAUUCAUCCAUUUGUUGUGCGUUGUUCUCGGAUCCUUUUUCAAUUUAUGGAGGAUUCGAGUUGUGUAUAUGUCUUUGAAAAAUACUUGCUUUUUGUGCAAACCAUUGUUGUAUUAGAGGUAUUUAAUUGAUAAAGUUUUGAUUUUUAUAUGUUUUGAAGACACUCUUUUGUUUGAUUUAGCUAAAUGGAUACAAAUUUUUGUGUUUUUGAGUACGACUUUGUAUUGGAUCGUGUGCUAGAUUCUUCAUGGUUUAGUGGGGAAAUUAUUAACUUCUUUCUUAAGUGCUUAAUGUAGGUUUGAUCAACUUCUCAUGGAUUUUUCUUUUUUGAAUUGAUGAGGGGCUUUUGUGUUCUCCAAUAACGGCAAUAUAGCCUCAGAUUGGGUCAAAGUUAUUUAUGAAUUCGUUUUGUAAAAUGAAUGCGUUUCGGCAGGUUUAUCAGAUUUCGAGUCUAAUGGUUGGUCUAGAGAUUGAGUUUUCUAUUAAUGUUUUCAAAAGUGAUAGCUGAUAUUUUGUGAACUUCUUUCAAUUUUUAUAUGACUUUUAAUUCCAGUGUGGUUGUGGUCGAAUUCGAAAUGGUUGCUGGCAAUGGGGUAAGUUAUAUUUUGAUUAAUUAUUGUGAAAAUGUUUUGUUUUUUAUGCAUUGAUAAAUGGUUUGAAAUUUGUUUGUGACCACUAAAUGUUUGUGAUUUUUAAUGUGUGAGAAAUGCAGAUAAGUUGAUCGUUUGAUUAGUUGUUCAAAUUUUCAGUUAGUAAGAUGCAAGUAGGAUUAAAAGUCUGUGUUGUUUCUGAUUAUUGAUAAAUGAAUGAAUUUUCUAAAGGGUGUUUAAAUAAGCAUGUGUGAUAAUGUCUUCAAGGUCUUGAUUCUGACCUUAAUCUUCGUGAAUGGGCAUAUAGUGAGGCAAAAGUUAAGUGAAGGAAGAAAGGUAACAAGCCAUCUUCUUGGAAGCAUAACGGAUGCAGUAUAUCAUGAAUAAUCACAUUCAUAUAUGAUAAUCUUUACCAGAGGUCAAUUCAUAAUAAAAAUGAAUAAAUACAAGAGAGAUGUUGGUAGGUCACUAUACCUGAGUCAAAUGAGAUGAAGCAACAAAGAAAGAUAUUAUGCUAAAAUUCUUAUGGGAAAAGUCAAGUAUGGAGAGCUACAAAACAGAAAGAAAAGAUAGUUGCUUCACUUGCUGUUUCCAAAGGGAAAGUUUUUGUUUUACUUUUGAAAAUUUAUGGGGUUAAUAGAUGUAGAAAAUUUAUAUACACUUUUAUAAUGUUUUGUAUUUUGUUGUUGUUCAAAAAUAGAAACAAAUGAUGGUUUCUUUUUUAUUAUAUGUUGUUGGAGUGUGCUGCUAAACUCUUUCAAGUGUACCAUUUGUAUUGAUUUUUUAUCUUUAAAGAUCUUUUUUGACAACUUGAUGCACACUAUAUAUACAUAUUUAAAAC